RNAcentral lists this ribosomal RNA (1408 nucleotides) under metagenome. RNAcentral's name for it is "SSU rRNA". It matches the Rfam family "Eukaryotic small subunit ribosomal RNA", at positions 6 to 1476 of the family's 1831-position model. The record is from RNAcentral.
GGUUGAUCCUGCCAAUAGUCAUAUGCUUGUCUCAAAGAUUAAGCCAUGCAUGUCUAAGUAUAAAUAGUAUACAGUGUAACUGCGAAUGGCUCAUUAAAACAGUUAUAAUUUAUUUGAUAAUGAUUUUACAUGGAUAACCGUGGUAAUUCUAGAGCUAAUACAUGCUAUUAGGCCCGACUUACGAAGGGUUGUAUUUAUUAGAUAUAAGCCAAUAUUCCUCGUGUCUAUAAGGUGACUCAUAAUAACUGAUCGAAUCCCUUUUUGGGAUAAAUCAUUCAAGUUUCUGCCCUAUCAGCUUUCGAUGGUUGUGUAUUGGACAACCACUGGCAAUAACGGGUAACGGAGAAUUAGGGUUCGGUUCCGGAGAGUUGGCCUUAAAAAUAGCCAACACAUCUAAGGAAGGCAGCAGGCGCGCAAAUUACCCAAUCCUGACUCAGGGAGGUAGUGACAAGAAAUAACAAACUGGGGGCUUCGGCUCUACGGUAUUGCAAUGAGAACAAUUUAAAACCCUUAACAAGGAACAAGUGGAGGGCAAGUCUGGUGCCAGCAGCCGCGGUAAUACCAGCUCCACUAGCGUAUAUUAAAGUUGUUGCAGUUAAAAAGCUCGUAGUUGAACCUCUGUCUGGGCGUGGUUUAGGCUUCGGUCUUGCCAUGUCUAGGCAUUCGCUUGCGAACCUUUCUCGGCAUUUAGUUGUUCGGUUAGGGGAGUAAGCAUUUUACUUUGAAAAAACUAGAGUGUUUAAGGCAGGCCAUUGCUUGAAUACAUUAGCAUGGAAUAAUAGAAUAGGGCACCGGUCCAUUUCGUUGGUUAUUGGAUUAGUAUAAUGAUUAAUAGGGACAGUUGGGGGCAUUUGUAUUUAAUUGUCAGAGGUGAAAUUCUUUGAUUUAUUAAAGACAAACUUAUGCGAAAGCAUUUGCCAAGGAUGUUUUCAUUAAUCAAGAACGAAAGUUAGGGGAUCAAAGACGAUCAGAUACCGUCGUAGUCUUAACUAUAAACUAUUCCGACUCGGUGUUGACAUAGCUCAUAUAACUAUGCCAGCGCCGUAUGAGAAAUCAAAGUCUUUGGGAUCCGGGGGGAGUAUGGUCGCAAGGCUGAAACUUAAAGGAAUUGACGGAAGGGCACACCAGGUGUGGAUACUGCGGCUUAAUUUGACCCAACACGGGGAAACUUACCAGUUUAAAACAAGGGUGGGAUUGACAGAUUGAGAGUUCUUUCUUGAUUCUUUGGGAGGUGGUGCAUGGCCAUACUUAGUUGGUGGAUUGAUUUGUCUGCUUAAUUGCGUUAACGAACGAGACCUUAACCUGCUUAAUAGACGCUACUUGCAUAAAGUAGUGCUCUUCUUAGAGGGACUUUGUAGUCUCAACUACAAGGAAGUUUGAGGCAAUUAUAGGUCUGUGAUGCCCCUUG